Molecule: ribosomal RNA, 1129 nt
Filed under: Streptomyces parvus
Lineage: Bacteria; Bacillati; Actinomycetota; Actinomycetes; Kitasatosporales; Streptomycetaceae
Description: bacterial SSU rRNA
Rfam family: Bacterial small subunit ribosomal RNA
Source: RNAcentral
GUGGUGGAUUAGUGGCGACGGGUGAGUAACACGUGGGCAAUCUGCCCUUCACUCUGGGACAAGCCCUGGAAACGGGGUCUAAUACCGGAUAACACUCUGUCCCGCAUGGGACGGGGUUGAAAGCUCCGGCGGUGAAGGAUGAGCCCGCGGCCUAUCAGCUUGUUGGUGGGGUAAUGGCCUACCAAGGCGACGACGGGUAGCCGGCCUGAGAGGGCGACCGGCCACACUGGGACUGAGACACGGCCCAGACUCCUACGGGAGGCAGCAGUGGGGAAUAUUGCACAAUGGGCGAAAGCCUGAUGCAGCGACGCCGCGUGAGGGAUGACGGCCUUCGGGUUGUAAACCUCUUUCAGCAGGGAAGAAGCGAAAGUGACGGUACCUGCAGAAGAAGCGCCGGCUAACUACGUGCCAGCAGCCGCGGUAAUACGUAGGGCGCAAGCGUUGUCCGGAAUUAUUGGGCGUAAAGAGCUCGUAGGCGGCUUGUCACGUCGGAUGUGAAAGCCCGGGGCUUAACCCCGGGUCUGCAUUCGAUACGGGCUAGCUAGAGUGUGGUAGGGGAGAUCGGAAUUCCUGGUGUAGCGGUGAAAUGCGCAGAUAUCAGGAGGAACACCGGUGGCGAAGGCGGAUCUCUGGGCCAUUACUGACGCUGAGGAGCGAAAGCGUGGGGAGCGAACAGGAUUAGAUACCCUGGUAGUCCACGCCGUAACGUUGGGAACUAGGUGUUGGCGACAUUCCACGUCGUCGGUGCCGCAGCUAACGCAUUAAGUUCCCCGCCUGGGGAGUACGGCCGCAAGGCUAAAACUCAAGGAUUUGACGGGGGCCCGCACAAGCAGCGGAGCAUGUGGCUUAAUUCGACGCACGCGAAGAACCUUACCAAGGCUUGACAUAUACCGGAAGCAUCAGAGAUGGUGCCCCCCCUGUGGUCGGUAUACAGGUGGUGCAUGGCUGUCGUCAGCUCGUGUCGUGAGAUGUUGGGUUUAAGUCCCGCAACGAGCGCAACCCUUGUUCUGUGUUUGCCAGCAUGCCCUUCGGGGGUGAUGGGGACUCAACAGGAGACUGGCCGGGGUCAACUCGGAGAAGUUGGACCGACUCCAGUUCAUCAUGCCCCCCUUAAUGUCCUUGGGGGCCU